Molecule: long non-coding RNA, 517 nt
Organism: Pseudophryne corroboree (corroboree frog)
Lineage: Eukaryota; Metazoa; Chordata; Amphibia; Anura; Myobatrachidae
Exons: 3
Source: RefSeq, a predicted model, not a curated record
CUAAUUCAUGUUUGUGCGCAAUGGCCGAUGUUCACGCCACGGAGAGAUUAUCAGCAGACUGUGCACGUGCUGCGAUCGCAAUGUGCAUGCAUCAAGCUACUACUGCGAUCCCGCUCGCAAUGAGGAUUUCAUGGAGAGGCCCAGGACUCCAGUUCCGGCAGUCCCCCCCUGAUGGCGGCCCUGGAUGGGAGUGUGAUCUCAUUAUAUGAGAGCUUUGCAUGGAGACAGGAAUAAAAGAUCUGAAAAUCAAUUUGCUGGAAAAUAUUGGUCGAGACCGUUAAGUAUUAGGAAUAAUUAAAGGAACGGGACUGUGGAAGAUUGGCUGCUCUUUGUGAUCUAGAAGUGUUUUCCAGCCUUAUUUAGGGCAUAUAAUUAUGAUGCUAAUGGCAAACAAAUGAUGUCAUUGCAGCGUUGCGCUCUGUUAAUGUGCAAACAGCAUCAGUGACCUCAUUCAUUCACAAUGACUGCAAUCCCUACUAAUGCCUUCGCACUGCACUUAGUAAAUGAACCUUUGCGU